AAGGGGGCAACUCCUUCCGUCGAGUGGCGGACGGGUGAGUAACACGUGGGUAACCUGCCCGGAAGUGGGGAAUACCUCGGGGAAACUCGAGCUAAUACCGCAUGACAUCUCCGGGACAAAAGUCCUGGCGAUCAAAGCGGGGUCGCAAGACCUCGCGCUACCGGAUGGGCCCGCGCCCGAUUAGCUAGUUGGCGAGGUAAUGGCUCACCAAGGCUUCGAUCGGUAACCGGCCUGAGAGGGCGAUCGGUCACACCGGAACUGAGACACGGUCCGGACUCCUACGGGAGGCAGCAGUGGGGAAUCUUGCGCAAUGGGCGAAAGCCUGACGCAGCAACGCCGCGUGGAGGAUGAAGGCCCUUGGG
RNAcentral lists this ribosomal RNA (362 nucleotides) under uncultured bacterium. RNAcentral's name for it is "bacterial SSU rRNA". It matches the Rfam family "Bacterial small subunit ribosomal RNA", at positions 73 to 422 of the family's 1533-position model. The record is from RNAcentral.